RNA transcript from Helianthus annuus (common sunflower), 893 nucleotides. RefSeq lists it as uncharacterized. The record is from RefSeq and is a predicted model, not a curated record. Lineage: Eukaryota; Viridiplantae; Streptophyta; Magnoliopsida; Asterales; Asteraceae. The transcript is spliced from 5 exons.
AAAUUGUAAUUUCCAAACCUAAUUUUAAGACGGCAGCCCAAUCGACUUAUCUUUUCUCCUGAUUCUUCAUCCUUAUCUCCCAAAAUUGCCCCCAAUUCAAUAUCUUUAGCCUACAUGAUUCUUGCACAACGAACUAUUCAUCCCAACAGUCGGUGUACAUUGAAGACGCCAAUUGAUGAACGUGUAAAUUGAAGACGCCGAUUGAUGAUUGAAACGGUGGAAACAGUUAUAAAUAUGAUCAAUGAUCAAUUAGGUUUGAUGAUUGAAAUCAACUCUUGAUAUUGAAGAUGUUCAAUCUGAUUUGGUUUUGAAAUACGAUUAGCAUGGAUAGGGCUCAUUUGAUUUGUUGAUUAUGAUGGACAACAUUCAAUUGCAUGCUGAAUUUUAGAAUCAAGAAUGGUUAUUUUCUAGGUUCUAGGGUUCCUACCACUAUUUCGGCUACCCACUUGAAGAUGCAUGCUCUGUUUUGGUCGACUCUGCAACAAGGUUAGCGUUUCUUGUUAUUGUUUGGAGUUAUACCCGUUUAUGUUUGUUAGGAAAAGAUAUCAUCCCUACUAGGAAACCACUUGUUACAAUUUCGUCAAUCCGUUACAAGGUAGGUAACACCCCCUUUUAUUGUUCUUGGUACAAGACAUUUGUGUUUAGAUACCAUAAAUUAAAUUACGUUUGUCUUGUUGUUUAUGCAGGGCGAUUUGUGCAUAUCUCACCAACAAACCAUCACUUCCCUUCUCUAUUACGAGUACAAGACGAAGAUAGAGGUCGCAGACAUAGGGGUUUGAAGGAGGUUCACAAAAGGUGUGGGGAAAAUGCGACUGCGGCGUGGAAUGUGUCUUUUUGGAACUAGAUGUGACUCGUUACAACCUAUACAAGAACUUAACUGUUUUGAUUGUUAA